Molecule: long non-coding RNA, 885 nt
Filed under: Androctonus crassicauda
Lineage: Eukaryota; Metazoa; Arthropoda; Arachnida; Scorpiones; Buthidae
Source: RNAcentral
GGGGUAGCCGGAUGGUGGAAGACGGGGAUCGACGGCCGGAUCCGCAUCUCAUAUUAAAUAUUUUCAAGCGGUGGGACCCGAGAUUCGAAUACGUAUCCUCCGGAGCGGAAAGCCGAAGCGUUUCAACCCGGCCAAUCCAGUCAUCUCUAUGUUUUAUUAUCAGAAAAUACUAUCACCAAUUAUGCCCUACUUGUUUUCAAUGUGGUCUGAAUUUUUAUCCCAUCAAUUCUGCACGAGGACAGCAUAACUUCUCUUAUAUGAGAGAUAUAGAAAAACAAAGUCCACUCCAAGGAUAAUUUGGUCCGAUAUGGUUUCCAACCGAGAGAUGCAUCUUCGGCUAUGGAUCGCGAUGAUCGGGGACCAAAGACUUUGCCUCGGUGAAUUUUGAUCAACAUCUAAACUUCUCUGAUAACAGUAAUUGCCUGUCGUACCGUCUUGUGUCCAAUUUCUUUUUUAUCUGUUUAGCGGGUUACCAUCCUGGUGAAAUUCGGUCGGUUAGUCUGGAGAAAAGUCACUUCUUAACUGGAUAGUGUAUUUAGCCGCCCAGUCGUCUUCUGAUAAAUUUCAUUAAACCUCAACCAGCCAAGAUUGGCGUAAAAUCGAAAGUGGGUCUCUUAAUGAAAACGGGAUGGCCCAUACUUCCAGUUUGACUCCUGGCUAAUAAGCAACUGUUUAUAUCUAGUAUCAGUUUCUACAUAACUCCAUGUUGGAUUCUUUGAUUAAGCACACUGCAAAAGUAUCCGAUCAUUCGCUGAUUUUCUUUUGAUAUAGCCAAAGCGUUUUAACCGACAGAUAGUUCCUUUUUUCGGAUAAUAUAUUUUUCUUUUUCUCUAUCAUACUAAAUAUUACCGGUGCUAAUAAAUGGCUAUUUCAUUUUCGAUUAAG